UGUGAACUCGAAGAGUAGGGCGGGACACGUGGUAUCCUGUCUGAAUAUGGGGGGACCAUCCUCCAAGGCUAAAUACUCCUGACUGACCGAUAGUGAACCAGUACCGUGAGGGAAAGGCGAAAAGAACCCCGGCGAGGGGAGUGAAAAAGAACCUGAAACCGUGUACGUACAAGCAGUAGGAGCCCACUUGUUGGGUGACUGCGUACCUUUUGUAUAAUGGGUCAGCGACUUAUAUUCUGUAGCAAGGUUAACCGUAUAGGGGAGCCGCAGGGAAACCGAGUCUUAACUGGGCGUUAAGUUGCAGGGUAUAGACCCGAAACCCGGUGAUCUAGCCAUGGGCAGGUUGAAGGUUGGGUAACACUAACUGGAGGACCGAACCGACUAAUGUUGAAAAAUUAGCGGAUGACUUGUGGCUGGGGGUGAAAGGCCAAUCAAACCGGGAGAUAGCUGGUUCUCCCCGAAAGCUAUUUAGGUAGCGCCUCGUGAAUUCAUCUUCGGGGGUAGAGCACUGUUUCGGCUAGGGGGUCAUCCCGACUUACCAACCCGAUGCAAACUACGAAUACCGAAGAAUGUUAUCACGGGAGACACACGGCGGGUGCUAACGUCCGUCGUGAAGAGGGAAACAACCCAGACCGCCAGCUAAGGUCCCAAAGUCAUGGUUAAGUGGGAAACGAUGUGGGAAGGCCCAGACAGCCAGGAUGUUGGCUUAGAAGCAGCCAUCAUUUAAAGAAAGCGUAAUAGCUCACUGGUCGAGUCGGCCUGCGCGGAAGAUGUAACGGGGCUAAACCAUGCACCGAAGCUGCGGCAGCGACGCUUAGGCGUUGUUGGGUAGGGGAGCGUUCUGUAAGCCGUUGAAGGUGGCCUGUGAGGGUUGCUGGAGGUAUCAGAAGUGCGAAUGCUGACAUAAGUAACGAUAAUGCGGGUGAAAAACCCGCACGCCGGAAGACCAAGGGUUCCUGUCCAACGUUAAUCGGGGCAGGGUGAGUCGACCCCUAAGGCGAGGCCGAAAGGCGUAGUCGAUGGGAAACAGGUUAAUAUUCCUGUACUUGGUGUUACUGCGAAGGGGGGACGGAGAAGGCUAUGUUGGCCGGGCGACGGUUGUCCCGGUUUAAGCGUGUAGGUGUGUGUUCCAGGUAAAUCCGGUUCACUUUAACACUGAGGCGUGAUGACGAGGCACUACGGUGCUGAAGUGACAAAUGCCCUGCUUCCAGGAAAAGCCUCUAAGCAUCAGGUAACAUCAAAUCGUACCCCAAACCGACACAGGUGGUCAGGUAGAGAAUACCAAGGCGCUUGAGAGAACUCGGGUGAAGGAACUAGGCAAAAUGGUGCCGUAACUUCGGGAGAAGGCACGCUGAUAUGUAGGUGAAGUGAUUUACUCAUGGAGCUGAAAUCAGUCGAAGAUACCAGCUGGCUGCAACUGUUUAUUAAAAACACAGCACUGUGCAAACACGAAAGUGGACGUAUACGGUGUGACGCCUGCCCGGUGCCGGAAGGUUAAUUGAUGGGGUUAUCCGUAAGGAGAAGCUCUUGAUCGAAGCCCCGGUAAACGGCGGCCGUAACUAUAACGGUCCUAAGGUAGCGAAAUUCCUUGUCGGGUAAGUUCCGACCUGCACGAAUGGCGUAAUGAUGGCCAGGCUGUCUCCACCCGAGACUCAGUGAAAUUGAACUCGCUGUGAAGAUGCAGUGUACCCGCGGCAAGACGGAAAGACCCCGUGAACCUUUACUAUAGCUUGACACUGAACACUGGUCCUUGAUGUGUAGGAUAGGUGGGAGGCUUUGAAGUGUGGACGCCAGUCUGCAUGGAGCCAUCCUUGAAAUACCACCCUUUAAUGGCUGGUGUUCUAACGUGGGCCCGUAAUCCGGGUUGCGGACAGUGUCUGGUGGGUAGUUUGACUGGGGCGGUCUCCUCCUAAAGAGUAACGGAGGAGCACGAAGGUCAGCUAAUCCUGGUCGGACAUCAGGAGGUUAGUGCAAUGGCAUAAGCUGGCUUGACUGCGAGCGUGACGGCGCGAGCAGGUGCGAAAGCAGGUCAUAGUGAUCCGGUGGUUCUGAAUGGAAGGGCCAUCGCUCAACGGAUAAAAGGUACUCCGGGGAUAACAGGCUGAUACCGCCCAAGAGUUCAUAUCGACGGCGGUGUUUGGCACCUCGAUGUCGGCUCAUCACAUCCUGGGGCUGAAGUAGGUCCCAAGGGUAUGGCUGUUCGCCAUUUAAAGUGGUACGCGAGCUGGGUUUAGAACGUCGUGAGACAGUUCGGUCCCUAUCUGCCGUGGGCGCUGGAGAAUUGAGGGGGGCUGCUCCUAGUACGAGAGGACCGGAGUGGACGCAUCACUGGUGUUCGGGUUGUCAUGCCAAUGGCAUUGCCCGGUAGCUAAAUGCGGAAGAGAUAAGUGCUGAAAGCAUCUAAGUACGAAACUUGCCCCGAGAUGAGUUCUCCCUGACUCCUUGAGAGUCCUGAAGGAACGUUGAAGACGACGACGUUGAUAGGCCGGGUGUGUAAGCGCAGCGAUGCGUUGAGCUAACCGGUACUAAUGAACCGUGAGGCUUAACCUU
RNAcentral lists this ribosomal RNA (2550 nucleotides) under human gut metagenome. Its description in RNAcentral is "bacterial LSU rRNA". It matches the Rfam family "Bacterial large subunit ribosomal RNA", at positions 398 to 2925 of the family's 2925-position model. The record is from RNAcentral.